AGAAUAAGCACCGGCUAAGUACGUGCCAGCAGCCGCGGUAAUACGUAGGGUGCAAGCGUUAAUCGGAAUUACUGGGCGUAAAGCGUGCGCAGGCGGUUCUGUAAGACAGAUGUGAAAUCCCCGGGCUCAACCUGGGAAUUGCAUUUGUGACUGCAGGACUAGAGUUCAUCAGAGGGGGGUGGAAUUCCAAGUGUAGCAGUGAAAUGCGUAGAUAUUUGGAAGAACACCAAUGGCGAAGGCAGCCCCCUGGGAUGC
Molecule: ribosomal RNA, 255 nt
Filed under: Clostridioides sp. ZZV15-6388
Lineage: Bacteria; Bacillati; Bacillota; Clostridia; Peptostreptococcales; Peptostreptococcaceae
Description: partial 16S ribosomal RNA
Rfam family: Bacterial small subunit ribosomal RNA
Source: RNAcentral